CUUAUAUUCUGUAGCAAGGUUAACCGAAUAGGGGAGCCGAAGGGAAACCGAGUCUUAACUGGGCGUUAAGUUGCAGGGUAUAGACCCGAAACCCGGUGAUCUAGCCAUGGGCAGGUUGAAGGUUGGGUAACACUAACUGGAGGACCGAACCGACUAAUGUUGAAAAAUUAGCGGAUGACUUGUGGCUGGGGGUGAAAGGCCAAUCAAACCGGGAGAUAGCUGGUUCUCCCCGAAAGCUAUUUAGGUAGCGCCUCGUGAAUUCAUCUCCGGGGGUAGAGCACUGUUUCGGCAAGGGGGUCAUCCCGACUUACCAACCCGAUGCAAACUGCGAAUACCGGAGAAUGUUAUCACGGGAGACACACGGCGGGUGCUAACGUCCGUCGUGAAGAGGGAAACAACCCAGACCGCCAGCUAAGGUCCCAAAGUCAUGGUUAAGUGGGAAACGAUGUGGGAAGGCCCAGACAGCCAGGAUGUUGGCUUAGAAGCAGCCAUCAUUUAAAGAAAGCGUAAUAGCUCACUGGUCGAGUCGGCCUGCGCGGAAGAUGUAACGGGGCUAAACCAUGCACCGAAGCUGCGGCAGCGACGCUUAUGCGUUGUUGGGUAGGGGAGCGUUCUGUAAGCCUGUGAAGGUGUACUGUGAGGUAUGCUGGAGGUAUCAGAAGUGCGAAUGCUGACAUAAGUAACGAUAAAGCGGGUGAAAAGCCCGCUCGCCGGAAGACCAAGGGUUCCUGUCCAACGUUAAUCGGGGCAGGGUGAGUCGACCCCUAAGGCGAGGCCGAAAGGCGUAGUCGAUGGGAAACAGGUUAAUAUUCCUGUACUUGGUGUUACUGCGAAGGGGGGACGGAGAAGGCUAUGUUGGCCGGGCGACGGUUGUCCCGGUUUAAGCGUGUAGGCUGGUUUUCCAGGCAAAUCCGGAAAAUCAAGGCUGAGGCGUGAUGACGAGGCACUACGGUGCUGAAGCAACAAAUGCCCUGCUUCCAGGAAAAGCCUCUAAGCAUCAGGUAACAUCAAAUCGUACCCCAAACCGACACAGGUGGUCAGGUAGAGAAUACCAAGGCGCUUGAGAGAACUCGGGUGAAGGAACUAGGCAAAAUGGUGCCGUAACUUCGGGAGAAGGCACGCUGAUAUGUAGGUGAAGUCCCUCGCGGAUGGAGCUGAAAUCAGUCGAAGAUACCAGCUGGCUGCAACUGUUUAUUAAAAACACAGCACUGUGCAAACACGAAAGUGGACGUAUACGGUGUGACGCCUGCCCGGUGCCGGAAGGUUAAUUGAUGGGGUCAGCGCAAGCGAAGCUCUUGAUCGAAGCCCCGGUAAACGGCGGCCGUAACUAUAACGGUCCUAAGGUAGCGAAAUUCCUUGUCGGGUAAGUUCCGACCUGCACGAAUGGCGUAAUGAUGGCCAGGCUGUCUCCACCCGAGACUCAGUGAAAUUGAACUCGCUGUGAAGAUGCAGUGUACCCGCGGCAAGACGGAAAGACCCCGUGAACCUUUACUAUAGCUUGACACUGAACAUUGAGCCUUGAUGUGUAGGAUAGGUGGGAGGCUUGGAAGUGUGGACGCCAGUCUGCAUGGAGCCGACCUUGAAAUACCACCCUUUAAUGUUUGAUGUUCUAACGUUGACCCGUAAUCCGGGUUGCGGACAGUGUCUGGUGGGUAGUUUGACUGGGGCGGUCUCCUCCUAAAGAGUAACGGAGGAGCACGAAGGUUGGCUAAUCCUGGUCGGACAUCAGGAGGUUAGUGCAAUGGCAUAAGCCAGCUUGACUGCGAGCGUGACGGCGCGAGCAGGUGCGAAAGCAGGUCAUAGUGAUCCGGUGGUUCUGAAUGGAAGGGCCAUCGCUCAACGGAUAAAAGGUACUCCGGGGAUAACAGGCUGAUACCGCCCAAGAGUUCAUAUCGACGGCGGUGUUUGGCACCUCGAUGUCGGCUCAUCACAUCCUGGGGCUGAAGUAGGUCCCAAGGGUAUGGCUGUUCGCCAUUUAAAGUGGUACGCGAGCUGGGUUUAGAACGUCGUGAGACAGUUCGGUCCCUAUCUGCCGUGGGCGCUGGAGAACUGAGGGGGGCUGCUCCUAGUACGAGAGGACCGGAGUGGACGCAUCACUGGUGUUCGGGUUGUCAUGCCAAUGGCACUGCCCGGUAGCUAAAUGCGGAAGAGAUAAGUGCUGAAAGCAUCUAAGCACGAAACUUGCCCCGAGAUGAGUUCUCCCUGACUCCUUGAGAGUCCUGAAGGAACGUUGAAGACGACGACGUUGAUAGGCCGGGUGUGUAAGCGCAGCGAUGCGUUGAGCUAACCGGUACUAAUGAACCGUGAGGCUUAACCUU
Molecule: ribosomal RNA, 2318 nt
Filed under: Escherichia coli
Lineage: Bacteria; Pseudomonadati; Pseudomonadota; Gammaproteobacteria; Enterobacterales; Enterobacteriaceae
Description: bacterial LSU rRNA
Rfam family: Bacterial large subunit ribosomal RNA
Source: RNAcentral